Molecule: transfer RNA, 74 nt
Filed under: Otolemur garnettii (small-eared galago)
Lineage: Eukaryota; Metazoa; Chordata; Mammalia; Primates; Galagidae
Rfam family: tRNA
About the family: Transfer RNA (tRNA) molecules are approximately 80 nucleotides in length. Their secondary structure includes four short double-helical elements and three loops (D, anti-codon, and T loops).
Source: Rfam by way of RNAcentral
GCACUUGUGGCUCAAAGGAGUAGGGUGCUGGCCUCAUAUGCCUGAGGUGGCGGGUUCAAAUCCAGCCAUGGCCA